Molecule: long non-coding RNA, 1428 nt
Organism: Ziziphus jujuba (common jujube)
Lineage: Eukaryota; Viridiplantae; Streptophyta; Magnoliopsida; Rosales; Rhamnaceae
Exons: 7
Source: RefSeq, a predicted model, not a curated record
UGAAACGUGUUAAUGAAAUCUAUCCACCUUGAUUGAAUUUUUUUCGUUUUACCCUUUCAUUUUCAUAUAUUCCCAAAUUAUCCUUUUCAAAUAUCAAAAAAGAAAAAUCAAGCCCUAAACGGAGCAUGACGAAGAAGGAGAGGAAGAGAAAGUGAGAAAGAAUGGCAAAACAGCUUGGGAUGACCAAAGAGUUCUUCAGGAGGAGGGAUGGAAGUCAAUAAUCAUGGUUUAGAUGGUUUUUUCCUUGUCGAAUCUAAGAUAAAAGUGUAGGAAUUAAAGCGUGGAAUUGAAAGCCUAUCUAGAAAUUUGCAGGUGAUGUAUGCUUUAUCGCUGGACAAGUCAAAUCUGGCUGUUUCAAAAUAUCAAGCUGAGUGCAUGGAUGCUAAAGGAUUAGCAGAACCAAACCAUCAAACUCCAGAGGGUUGUCAAUGUCUCUCUUGAGUACCCUUUCAAAGAUCUUUGGAUUGCUGAAAACAUUAUAUUACAAGGCUUGAGCAAUAAUUCUCACCUUUGUUUUUUAAGAAUCACAAUGAUAACUAGUGUACCUGCUGGAAGUGGCAAACUGAACUAUGGAGUGAGUGACUUCAAGGAAAAAUGUUGUAGAAGAUCUUCAUGGAUCACCAGCAUGACUUUUAGCAUAUGCAUACAAAAAGAAAUUUCAUGAUAUGCUAAGGAUCUUAGUACUAAAAACAGUUUACAUGUACUAAAUCUUACUAGCUGGGGUUGAAGAAUUUUGAAGGUCUUUUAUCGACUGCAGUAAACUUUUGUGAGUGGAUUAUUUAAAUUCUGCAUAGAGCAGUUCAACUUAAAGAAGCUCACAUAUGAAGAAAGGAACCAGUUAAUUGAAGGAUUGACUAAAUUUGGGCAGUGGCAUAAAUUUUCAAAGAUAAUGCACAUGCCGUAUAGAGAAACCUGGAUUUUCUUGCGUCCAUGCAAUUGCAACAUAUAAAUGUCAGUGGUAUGCUCUAGAUGAUGUCAUAAACCACCUUGCACUUCCACCUAAGAUUGACAAACAGUCAGGAAGACCACGAAAGAAGAGGAUUCAAUCUUAAGGAGAGGAGCGUCAUCAAUAUAGAUGUGGGAGGUGCAAACAGAUUGGUCACAGCAGCCGAUCAUGCUUAGCCGCCAUACCUCUUGAUAGCACUGCCAACCAACAUGACCAUUCAACUAAAGGACCAUAAAUCACUCUACGCUAUAUUAAGACAAUGGGGGCAUGUUAUGUGGUAUCCGUGUGUUAUGCAAUGUAGUAAGGAAUGCAAUUAGUAGCUCAACCGCGUAACUUGUGUUUUGGCAUAAUAGACGUUGGUUUUAUGUGUUGUUUUGUUGGAAAAGUCAUCUGUCGUAUUGUGUUGAUAAAAUAUCAAUGUCCCUAAACAGAAAAAACUCCAAAAGUUUGGAAAAAGUUCUCAAAUUGGCAAAAAUAUUUGG